AAAAUUUAAGAAUCAUUUAAAAAAUAGAUUUGAAAAAAAAUUAUAUAUGUUUCUGUGGUUAGUUUUUUAUCACCUGUACUUUUAUCUUUUAUUGUUUGGCGUAUCCUGUCCGUUUCGAAUAAAAUUAAAAACUACUUUUUUACUAUACAAUAUAUUUUAGUACAUUAUUUUAAAUGUUUUUUGAAAUUUACAUUUUUUAAUGAAUAAAAUUUAAUUUUAUGAAAAUACUUUUAAAAAAGUUUUGAAAAUAAAAAAAAAAAAUACUAAGGGCAUUCACUUUAAACAAAAUUUACAUUUUUCUUGUUGCAGCUAUUUGUAUAUCUAUUGUACCGUAUAUCUCUUCUGAGAAUUGAGAUAAAAAUGUAACAAUAGACUUCGCACAAAAAUAAAAAUAAUUAUUUUUACAGAAUUUAAAACAAUUUGCAUUUUUAGUUUAUCUACUUUAUCGUAGUAAACAUAUUGUGUGUGAAUAUAUUUUAAUGAACAAGUUUGUUUUGAAUUUCAAUUUAUCAACAGUUUAUCAGUCACGUGAAAAAAAAAAAAAAAUGAAAAUCACAAAGGAUGAGAGAGAAAAAGAAGAAAUUCCAUCAAUUGGUUGAGAUGGGCAAUAAAUAAUCAUAAUUACCUGAUACAAGUAUUGCAGCCGAACAAAGCAAAAUUAAAAUUUUCCUCAGCAUCUUUGCACUAAACUACUUAACAAAACGUCUGUUAAAUCGUACUGCGACAAACUGAAAAAAUACGUCGUAACCUAUAAAUUGUAUUUGUUCUUAUUUGGGGAAUUCCAAAGGAGACAAUGAUGAUGAGAAUGAGUAAAAUAGCAACAGACACAAGUCUCAACUUCCGACUCUUGAUUGCGUUUCGAAACUAAUCAAAAAAAUAAAAAAGA
Molecule: long non-coding RNA, 886 nt
Organism: Leptopilina boulardi
Lineage: Eukaryota; Metazoa; Arthropoda; Insecta; Hymenoptera; Figitidae
Exons: 2
Source: RefSeq, a predicted model, not a curated record